Molecule: non-coding RNA, 532 nt
Organism: Microcebus murinus (gray mouse lemur)
Lineage: Eukaryota; Metazoa; Chordata; Mammalia; Primates; Cheirogaleidae
Source: RefSeq, a predicted model, not a curated record
GAAUUUUUUCACAAGAUGGCGCCAAAGGCGAAGAAGGAAGCUCCUGCCCCUCCCAAAGCCGAAGCCAAAGCAAAGGCUUUGAAGGCCAAGAAGGCAGUGCUAAAAGGCGUACACAGCCACAAAAAAAAGAAGAUCUGAACGUCACCCACCUUCCGUCACCCACCUUCCGGCGGCCGGCCAAAGACAUUGCGGCUCUGGAAGCAGCCCAAAUAUCCUCGGAAGAGCGCCCCCAGGAGAAACAAGCUUGACCACUAUGCCAUCAUCAAGUUCCCCUUGACCACAGAGUCUGCCAUGAAGAAGAUAGAAGACAACAACACACUUGUGUUCAUUGUGGAUGUCAAAGCCAAUAAGCACCAGAUCAAACAGGCUGUGAAGAAGCUCUAUGACAUUGAUGUGGCCAAGGUCAACACCCUGAUCAGGCCUGUUGGAGAGAAGAAGGCAUAUGUUCGACUGGCUCCUGAUUAUGAUGCUUUGGACAUUGCCAACAAAAUUGGGAUCAUCUAAACCGAGUCCAGCUGGCUAAUUCUAAAUU